This 68-nucleotide transfer RNA is filed under the name Lopaphus sphalerus. RNAcentral describes it as "tRNA-Met". The record is from RNAcentral. Lineage: Eukaryota; Metazoa; Arthropoda; Insecta; Phasmatodea; Lonchodidae.
AGAAAGAUAAGCUAAAUAAAGCUAAUGAGUUCAUACCUCAUCAAUGGACAUAAAUUAUCCUCUUUCUA